RNAcentral lists this unclassified non-coding RNA (353 nucleotides) under Ramicandelaber taiwanensis. RNAcentral describes it as "partial internal transcribed spacer region". The stretch from base 1 to 46 matches the Rfam family "Eukaryotic small subunit ribosomal RNA", at positions 1786 to 1831 of the family's 1831-position model. The record is from RNAcentral. Lineage: Eukaryota; Fungi; Kickxellomycota; Ramicandelaberales; Ramicandelaberaceae.
AAGUCGUAACAAGGUAUCCGUAGGUGAACCUGCGGAUGGAUCAUUACCAAUUUUUAUAUAUUAGUGUUGUAUCUGUGACUACUCUGUUGCAGGUAUCAACUACUACUAUUAUGUAAACGUUGAACUAGAUCAAUUGGUGUGGAUUGCUUGGGAAUGGACGAAGCGACAAGCCUCUUCCGGACAGGCAAACCCCACACUGAUAACCCUUUUCAAUAUAUACUAUACUUACUAGUACAUACUACAAACAAACAAACAAAAAGCUAUAAUAGGACUUAUAAACAGGCUGAGUGGGUAAAAUCCUCGGCUUAUCAAUAUAACUAUUACAACUUUCAGCAAUGGAUCUCUAGGCUCUC